CUGGAAGGGGUGUAUUUAUUASAUAAAAAUCAACACUGUUGGUGAAUCAUGAUAACUUCUCGGAUCSCAUGGCCUCGUGCUGGCGAUACUUCAUUCAAAUAUCUGCCCUAUCAACUGUCGAUGGWMGGAUAGAGGCCUACCAUGGUUGCAACGGGUAACGGGGAAUAAGGGUUCGAUUCCGGAGAGGGAGCCUGAGAAACGGCUACCACAUCCAAGGAAGGCAGCAGGCGCGCAAAUUACCCAAUCCCGACACGGGGAGGUAGUGACAAUAKGUAACAAUAUACGGCUUUAUCGUCGUAUAAUUGGAAUGAGUACAAUUUAAAUCCCUUAACGAGGAACAAUUGGAGGGCAAGUCUGGUGCCAGCAGCCGCGGUAAUUCCAGCUCCAAUAGCGUAUAUUAAAGUUGUUGCAGUUAAAAAGCUCGUAGUUGGACCUUGGGCCUGGACGGGCGGUCCGCCUCACGGCGUGUACUGUCUUGCCGGGCCUUUCCUCUUGGUGAUCUGUUGUUUCGGCAGCAGGGAACCAGGACCUUUACUUUGAAAAAAUUAGAGUGUUCAAAGCAGGCUCGACGCCGGA
Molecule: ribosomal RNA, 576 nt
Filed under: uncultured eukaryote
Lineage: Eukaryota
Description: SSU rRNA
Rfam family: Eukaryotic small subunit ribosomal RNA
Source: RNAcentral